This is a long non-coding RNA of Lagenorhynchus albirostris (white-beaked dolphin), 1410 nucleotides long. RefSeq lists it as uncharacterized. Lineage: Eukaryota; Metazoa; Chordata; Mammalia; Artiodactyla; Delphinidae. The record is from RefSeq and is a predicted model, not a curated record. The transcript has 3 exons.
AAAGGAGAGCUUGUGGAGAAGCUCAUGUGCUGUCUCUUCAGUGGAGAGUUCAAUCCAGGAACAGGAUGUGAUUAAGGAUCUUGAGAUGGAGAGUUACCUUGGAUUACCUGGGCAAAGCACUCCCCGUUUCUUCAACUCUGGAGCUGUGGAGGAGUAUUUUUGGGGGACUGGAGGCCACACCCAUCCCUCCUGUGGGCGUGUCAUCUCCCUCUGUCUCAUGGGGAAACUCACACCGUGCACUGGAGCUUCAGUUUUAUGCAGAAUUGAGGCCCGUCGGUGAUGCCGAAAGGUCAGUGCCAGUCAGCCACGCCAGCCUGGGGAGAUUCUCAGCCAACCUGUCCUCCCACCAACCGUCCUCCUCGAAACAACCAACCAGCCAAACCCACUUCUGGAGCAUCUUCUGGCCUGCAGGUGGGCAUGUUCCCUCUUCUUGUCUCUCAGCGGGAAGCCCUGAUUUGGCUUCUGUUCCCGGUCCAAUCCAAGUCCCAGCAUCAUCGGCGAGAGGAAGAGCCAUUGCCAUGGACUAAAAGGCCAGUGUGCACGGGCAUCCCCCCACCGCCUCUCACAGAUGGAGCGGCCCCGCAAGGCAGACAUCACAGCCUUCAGUUUACAGAUAACGACAUUAAGCUCCGUUCAAGGUAACACUCCCAAGGUCAGAGAGGAGCACAGCCAAGGUUCAGACUCUGCUCGCCCAUGCGGUGGCCAAAAUGAUCUGAAGUGUAGAAGAGACGGGGCGCCUGGACCACGGCAGGUGGACGCAGCCUGGAGCUGACCCUUCCGAGCCCCCGCAGGAGCUGGGGAGCCUGCCCUUGGCACUAGAUGGCUCAGCCUCUGUAGGUCUCCCCUCGGUGACUGCGUCUUCUCAUGUCACAUAUGUGAGAACACAAGGCCCAGCUGGCCCAGCUUCCGAGGUUCGCAGACAUGGGUGUUUCUGUGGCCCGACAACUAUUUACUAAGUGCCUUCUGGGUCUCCUGGGCCAAACUGGGGCAGGAUGGGAGAACAGAGGCCCUAGUACAGGUCCCAUGUAGCUGGAAUGAACCUUCCAAAGCGCAUCAUUUAUAAUUACACCCCAUUUCUUCUGCUCAGUUCUAACAGUUAACCUGUUGAUCGUGGUGAGUAUCACCUUCUCCCUCACGGUUGUCACACCAGCAGAUCCCCUCACAACCUCCCCAGGAAAGGGUUCUCACGACAGUUGCUUUCACUCUGCUGCUCAGAAGGCACGCGUUUCCGCGAGCUCCCCCCGCCCCCAGGCAUUAUGCCAAAAUCAUAUUUCCAGGGGGCAGAGGUGAGUGCUGUGCGUCUAUCUGAUUAAACUGCCUGUUGUUUUAAAUCUAUUUUCACAGAGACUUACGUCCUCCAGGACACAGGCAGUGACACAGCACAUUAAAAAUUAUAUCUGUAUCAGCGGU